GGAUGAACGCUAGCUACAGGCUUAACACAUGCAAGUCGAGGGGCAGCAUGGUCUUAGCUUGCUAAGGCCGAUGGCGACCGGCGCACGGGUGAGUAACACGUAUCCAACCUGCCGUCUACUCUUGGACAGCCUUCUGAAAGGAAGAUUAAUACAAGAUGGCAUCAUGAGUUCACAUGUUCACAUGAUUAAAGGUAUUCCGGUAGACGAUGGGGAUGCGUUCCAUUAGAAUAGUAGGCGGGGUAACGGCCCACCUAGUCUUCGAUGGAUAGGGGUUCUGAGAGGAAGGUCCCCCACAUUGGAACUGAGACACGGUCCAAACUCCUACGGGAGGCAGCAGUGAGGAAUAUUGGUCAAUGGGCGAGAGCCUGAACCAGCCAAGUAGCGUGAAGGAUGACUGCCCUAUGGGUUGUAAACUUCUUUUAUAAAGGAAUAAAGUCGGGUAUGCAUACCCGCUUGCAUGUACUUUAUGAAUAAGGAUCGGCUAACUCCGUGCCAGCAGCCGCGGUAAU
RNAcentral lists this ribosomal RNA (509 nucleotides) under uncultured Bacteroides sp. Its description in RNAcentral is "bacterial SSU rRNA". It matches the Rfam family "Bacterial small subunit ribosomal RNA", at positions 27 to 524 of the family's 1533-position model. Lineage: Bacteria; Pseudomonadati; Bacteroidota; Bacteroidia; Bacteroidales; Bacteroidaceae. The record is from RNAcentral.